GGAUUUUUUGCCAUCAGAACAUAAGGUGACGGUAGAUAUUGACAAGACUACGAAAGUCCUUUGAGAUGCUGGGAACCAAGAUCAUGUCUUUGAUAUCCAAUUCCAAAAAUCACAAAAUAGAAUUUCUAGAAUGAUGGCCAUGCCUAUCCCUUCUGAACACCUAUGCAUGCCACUUUUCCCAAACUGCUUAUAAUUUCAAGCAGUCC
This 206-nucleotide unclassified non-coding RNA is filed under the name Hevea brasiliensis (rubber tree). The record is from RNAcentral. Lineage: Eukaryota; Viridiplantae; Streptophyta; Magnoliopsida; Malpighiales; Euphorbiaceae.